This 225-nucleotide small RNA is filed under the name Pelobates cultripes (western spadefoot toad). Lineage: Eukaryota; Metazoa; Chordata; Amphibia; Anura; Pelobatidae. The record is from RNAcentral.
GUGAGGGAGGGUGUGACUAGUGACAGUUAAGCAGGGAAGGGGUGACUAGUGACAGAGGGAGGGGUGACUAGGGACAGAGUGAGGGAGGUGGUGACUAGUGACAGUCACCACCUCCCUCACUCUGUCACUAGUCAUCACCUCCCUCCGUCACUGUGUCACCCCCUCCCUCACUCUGUCACCAGUCAUCCCCUUACUCUGUCACUAGUCACCCCUCCCUUCCCUCAC